This 344-nucleotide ribosomal RNA is filed under the name Escherichia coli. RNAcentral's name for it is "bacterial SSU rRNA". It matches the Rfam family "Bacterial small subunit ribosomal RNA", at positions 87 to 434 of the family's 1533-position model. Lineage: Bacteria; Pseudomonadati; Pseudomonadota; Gammaproteobacteria; Enterobacterales; Enterobacteriaceae. The record is from RNAcentral.
GCUGACGAGUGGCGGACGGGUGAGUAAUGUCUGGGAAACUGCCUGAUGGAGGGGGAUAACUACUGGAAACGGUAGCUAAUACCGCAUAACGUCGCAAGACCAAAGAGGGGGACCUUCGGGCCUCUUGCCAUCGGAUGUGCCCAGAUGGGAUUAGCUAGUAGGUGGGGUAACGGCUCACCUAGGCGACGAUCCCUAGCUGGUCUGAGAGGAUGACCAGCCACACUGGAACUGAGACACGGUCCAGACUCCUACGGGAGGCAGCAGUGGGGAAUAUUGCACAAUGGGCGCAAGCCUGAUGCAGCCAUGCCGCGUGUAUGAAGAAGGCCUUCGGGUUGUAAAGUACU